RNAcentral lists this ribosomal RNA (403 nucleotides) under uncultured bacterium. RNAcentral describes it as "bacterial SSU rRNA". It matches the Rfam family "Bacterial small subunit ribosomal RNA", at positions 355 to 775 of the family's 1533-position model. The record is from RNAcentral.
UUAGGAAUUUUGGGCAAUGGGCGCAAGCCUGACCCAGCAACGCCGCGUGGGUGACGAAGGCCUUCGGGUUGUAAAGCCCUUUUCUGAGGGAAGAUGAUGACGGUACCUCAGGAAGAAGCACCGGCUAACUACGUGCCAGCAGCCGCGGUAAUACGUAGGGUGCGAGCGUUGCCCGGAUUUAUUGGGCGUAAAGGGCGCGUAGGCGGUCACGCACGUCCGUUGUGAAAUCGCUCGGCUCAACUGGGCGGGGUCAGCGGAUACGGCGUGGCUGGAGCAAGCUAGGGGGCAAUGGAAUUCCCGGUGUAGUGGUGGAAUGCGUAGAUAUCGGGAGGAACACCAGUGGCGAAGGCGGUUGCCUGGAGCUUUGCUGACGCUGAUGCGCGAAAGCGUGGGGAGCGAUCCG